This is a non-coding RNA of Camellia sinensis, 325 nucleotides long. The record is from RefSeq and is a predicted model, not a curated record. Lineage: Eukaryota; Viridiplantae; Streptophyta; Magnoliopsida; Ericales; Theaceae.
AAAGGGUUACAAGGUGUCAAAAAAGCAUGUCUUACACACCACUAUACCUGGAUGUGUUGAUUGCAAUUGAAUGGAAAAUAUAUUCUUAUGGGAAAGGUUUUUAAAACCGCGGAUCGUCUUUGCGGUGUCCUUGGAUGAGAUGUUUGGUGGAGAGAUAUCUGUUUCCAUGGGUGGAACAAGAGGACAAUUCUGUGAAGAAAGCACUUUAAAGUCAUCUUCACCAAACCUCAAGAGCUCAGGCACUAGGAAAGAGGUAAUUAAACACAGAAUUUGCUAUUACAAUGACACGAAACCAUCUUCACUAAACCUCAAAAUGCACUUGAAA